CUUAGUCUAAAGAAAAAUUGCUAUUUACUCUUAGUGCUGUUAUAACAAAGCACCAUAGCCUGCUUGGCUGAAACAACAGAAAUUUAUUGUUAUAACUCUAGAGGCUAGAAAUUCAAAGUCAAGAGUUUGCAGGAUUGGCUCCUUCUGAGGGCAGAAGGAUCUGUUCCAGGCCUCUCUCCUCGGCUUGAGAUGACUGCCUUCUCUCUACGUCUUUUCACAUGUUCUUCCCUCAGUGCCUGUCUGUGUCCAAAUUUUCCCAUUUUAGAGGGACACUGGAUUGGUACCCACCUGAAUGACUUCAUUUUAACUUGAUUACCUCUGUACAGAUCCCAUCUCCAAAUAAGGUCACAUUCUGAGGAACUGAGGGUUAGGACUUCAGUAUAUAAAUUGGGGGGAGGGGAGAGACAAAAUUCAACCCAUCACAGUUCUAAUUUUGAAAAUUAUUUAAAAGAUCAUAUCAAGAAAUUAUGAUCAGCAAGAGUCUUCUGGGGCUAUAGAAAUGAAUAAUAAUAAUAAUUUAAAAAACCCCACCAGUCUUUGAGUCUGUGAUUUACAGAUGAUGGAGUGUGGUAAAACGUUCCUUUCCCGGCAGGGAUCUGUGAGUUGAGUCACUCCUCCCCCAUUCAAGGCCCACAGCACCUGGAGCCCAAGUUUUCUCCACCCUCGAAAGCAGGAAGUAUUCUACUCACGGCUAAUUACACUGCCUGCCCUUCCCCACGGUAUUGAAAAUAUUUCUUUGAUGAUGUCAAAUCUGUACUCCUGUGACUGAUAAAACUUUUCAGUUUCACUCUGGUUCUCCAAGUACUUUUUCAGAUCAGGGGAAAUCUGACAGACUAGCUAUGUGUCAUCAGUACGUGUGCUUUAUUUAGGAUGAGGCUCUACGGUGGAGCCUAGCUUUGGGUCCAAGGGGGACUCCUGGCCUGGGUGCCUGUCAUGGGCCCCUCCUUGGUGGCCGUGUGCUCACUGGGCUUCUCUCUGACCGGCUUCAAAGAAGAUGUAAUCAUCUCUCCAUUCAUUUGUUUCUCUCAUUGGACUGUCUGUCUUAUUCACUGUGUCUCAUUAAUAGCUGAUGCUGAGUAGCUGAGCUUUCUGGACUAGUGAGCAAAUCCCAAACUGCUUGUGUGAGGAGACCCUGCCUCCUGAGACAGUAUAUGGCUUUGGCAAAUGACCAUCUGAGGGGAAGGGGCCCAGAGAGCAAGUGUGGUAGAAUGCAAGUUGGAAAU
This 1223-nucleotide long non-coding RNA is filed under the name Capra hircus (goat). RNAcentral describes it as "lncRNA (ENSCHIG00010007318.1)". The record is from RNAcentral. Lineage: Eukaryota; Metazoa; Chordata; Mammalia; Artiodactyla; Bovidae.